CUUCUUCCUCCUUCUCCUUCUCCUUCUUCUUUUCUUCUUCUUCUCAACUUCCUUCUCCUUCUCCUUCCUCCUCCUCCUCCUUCUUUUACUUCUUCUUCUCUUUCUCUUAUUCUACGUAGCUUAGACUCAUCCAACAAAGCCUAAAUUGGCGAAUUAUCCAUCUAAAUGACAUAAUUAGCUUAGUUAGCUCCUAAAUGGUCUAUUUAAUAGAAAAUGACCUAUACUUAGC
This 229-nucleotide long non-coding RNA is filed under the name Hordeum vulgare. RNAcentral describes it as "long non-coding RNA (HVUL_LNC019281)". The record is from RNAcentral. Lineage: Eukaryota; Viridiplantae; Streptophyta; Magnoliopsida; Poales; Poaceae.